GACGAACGCUGGCGGCGUGCUUAACACAUGCAAGUCGAACGAAGAGCGAUGGAAGCUUGCUUCUAUCAAUCUUAGUGGCGAACGGGUGAGUAACGCGUAAUCAACCUGCCCUUCAGAGGGGGACAACAGUUGGAAACGACUGCUAAUACCGCAUACGAUCCAAUCUCGGCAUCGGGACUGGAUGAAAGGUGGCCUCUAUUUAUAAGCUAUCACUGAAGGAGGGGAUUGCGUCUGAUUAGCUAGUUGGAGGGGUAACGGCCCACCAAGGCGAUGAUCAGUAGCCGGUCUGAGAGGAUGAACGGCCACAUUGGGACUGAGACACGGACCAGACUCCUACGGGAGGCAGCAGUGGGGAAUCUUCCGCAAUGGACGAAAGUCUGACGGAGCAACGCCGCGUGAGUGAUGACGGCCUUCGGGUUGUAAAGCUCUGUUAAUCGGGACGAAUGGUUCUUGUGCGAAUAGUGCGAGGAUUUGACGGUACCGGAAUAGAAAGCCACGGCUAACUACGUG
Molecule: ribosomal RNA, 510 nt
Filed under: uncultured bacterium
Lineage: Bacteria
Description: partial 16S ribosomal RNA
Rfam family: Bacterial small subunit ribosomal RNA
Source: RNAcentral